GUGAGAAUUAGAUAUCGCUUGGUAUCAACUCUCGUUAUUUAAUUUCAAUAAUAAUAAACUCUCCAUAAAUAAUUCGAGUUGAUAUCAAUCGAUAUCUAAUUCUCA
RNAcentral lists this small RNA (105 nucleotides) under Mytilus galloprovincialis (Mediterranean mussel). Lineage: Eukaryota; Metazoa; Mollusca; Bivalvia; Mytilida; Mytilidae. The record is from RNAcentral.